Molecule: ribosomal RNA, 501 nt
Filed under: uncultured bacterium
Lineage: Bacteria
Description: partial 16S ribosomal RNA
Rfam family: Bacterial small subunit ribosomal RNA
Source: RNAcentral
GAUGAACGCUAGCGGCAGGCCUAACACAUGCAAGUCGAGGGGCAGCACAGAAACAGCAAUGUUUUGGUGGCGACCGGCGGACGGGUGCGUAACGCGUAUGCGACCUACCUUUAACAGGGGGAUAACGGAGAGAAAUUUCCACUAAUACCCCAUAACAUCGAUCAAGGCAUCUUGAUUGGUUGAAAACUCCGGUGGUUAAAGAUGGGCAUGCGUUGUAUUAGGUAGUUGGCGAGGUAAUGGCUCACCAAGCCUACGAUACAUAGGGGACUGAGAGGUUAGCCCCCCACACUGGUACUGAGACACGGACCAGACUCCUACGGGAGGCAGCAGUGAGGAAUAUUGGUCAAUGGGGGCAACCCUGAACCAGCCAUGCCGCGUGCAGGAAGACGGCUCUAUGAGUUGUAAACUGCUUUUAAACAGGGAUAAAGCACAGUAUGUAUACUGUGUUGAAGGUACUGUAAGAAUAAGGAUCGGCUAACUCCGUGCCAGCCGCCGCAGUAA